This 487-nucleotide ribosomal RNA is filed under the name Meligethinus peringueyi. Its description in RNAcentral is "partial large subunit ribosomal RNA". Lineage: Eukaryota; Metazoa; Arthropoda; Insecta; Coleoptera; Nitidulidae. The record is from RNAcentral.
CAUGGCUUUUUGUUAUUAAUAUAAGGUCUAACCUGCCCAAUGAUAUUAUAUUAAAUGGCCGCGGUAUUUUGACCGUGCAAAGGUAGCAUAAUCAUUAGUUUUUUAAUUGAAAGCUGGUAUGAAAGGUUGAAUGAGAAAAUAACUGUCUUUAUAAUAUUUAAUUAGAAUUUUAUUUUUAAGUUAAAAAGCUUAAAUUUAAUUUAAAGACGAGAAGACCCUUUAGAGUUUUAUAAAAAAUUAGUUUUUGUAUUUUUAGUAUUAAGUUUGAUUUAAAAAUUGAUUUUUAUUUAAUUGGGGUGAUUGAAAAAUUUAAAAAACUUUUUUUUUUAUUAACAUUAAUUUAUGAGCACAUGAUCCAUAGUUUAUGAUUAUAAGAUUAAAUUACCUAAGGGAUAACAGCGUUAUUUUUUUUGAGAGUUCUUAUCGAAAGAAAAGAUUGCGACCUCGAUGUUGGAUUAAAAUUAAAUUAUGGUGUAGAGGCUAUAAC